This 456-nucleotide long non-coding RNA is filed under the name Mytilus galloprovincialis (Mediterranean mussel). The record is from RNAcentral. Lineage: Eukaryota; Metazoa; Mollusca; Bivalvia; Mytilida; Mytilidae.
GGUCUCUAGGGGAAAAUUUUGUCUCAUUGUCAAUCAAACCAUAUUUCUUCCUAGUCUUACAUUAGAUCACUUGCUUUGGAGGUUUCUUUUUACGUUUUCCAUGCAGGGUUCAUUUGUAAAUACAAUUUACAAAUAACAGUUAAUGAAUGGUUUAGUGUAUUGGCGUUUUUCUUUCACAAAUACUAUCUUCAUAAGGGACAUACCUCAUUCGUUUUUGAUGUGUUUUGUCAUUUAAUUUCGCCAUGUGAUUAUGGACUUUCCGAUUAGAUUUUCCUUCGCAUUUAGUCUAAAAAAGACUCAGUUACACAAACCAUGAACAUGCACCAUGUGAGACGAACAGAGAUGAAUCAAUGAAUAGACACAUGCGGCUUGUUGCAUUAGCAUAAUAUAAUUAUGCAAUGUUGAAGAAUUUGUAAGUAAGACAAACUAUGAACAUGCACCAUGUGAGAUGAAGAG